Cinara cedri is the source of this 217-nucleotide non-coding RNA. The record is from the annotation of a GenBank genome assembly. NCBI's taxonomy places the organism in Eukaryota, Metazoa, Arthropoda, Insecta, Hemiptera, Aphididae.
GGGAGAUCAAAAUAGUCCCAUACUUGUCAUACUUGUCAUAAGAGGCGACAAAUAUGGUUGGGUUAGGUUGGCAGCCGCUGUACAGUUCUGUUAAACUCAAACAGAAUGAGGAGUUCUAAACGAGACUGGUGGAUUGUCUCGGAUGUAUGCGGGGAAAAUAGGUGAGAAGAGGUACCAUCGUGCAUGAUUUUUGUUGAUGAUAUUGCUUUCGUAGGAG